GCCCGCAUAGUAUAAAGGCUAUUACAGUUGAUUUGUAAUCAUCGGAUGGGAGUUCGAUUCUCUCUGUGGGCU
This 72-nucleotide transfer RNA is filed under the name Caulobacteraceae bacterium. Its description in RNAcentral is "tRNA-Thr". It matches the Rfam family "tRNA". From Rfam's summary of the family: Transfer RNA (tRNA) molecules are approximately 80 nucleotides in length. Their secondary structure includes four short double-helical elements and three loops (D, anti-codon, and T loops). The record is from RNAcentral. Lineage: Bacteria; Pseudomonadati; Pseudomonadota; Alphaproteobacteria; Caulobacterales; Caulobacteraceae.